GUGGGGAAUAUUGGACAAUGGGCGAAAGCCUGAUCCAGCCAUGCCGCGUGUGUGAAGAAGGUCUUCGGAUUGUAAAGCACUUUAAGUUGGGAGGAAGGGCAGUAAGUUAAUACCUUGCUGUUUUGACGUUACCGACAGAAUAAGCACCGGCUAACUUCGUGCCAGCAGCCGCGGUAAUACGAAGGGUGCAAGCGUUAAUCGGAAUUACUGGGCGUAAAGCGCGCGUAGGUGGUUUUGUAAGUUGGAGGUGAAAUCCCCGGGCUCAACCUGGGAACUGCCUCCAAAACUGCAUGACUAGAGUACGGUAGAGAGUAGUGGAAUUUCCUGUGUAGCGGUGAAAUGCGUAGAUAUAGGAAGGAACACCAGUGGCGAAGGCGACUACCUGGACUGAUACUGACACUGAGGUGCGAAAGCGUGGGGAGCAAACAGGAUUAGAAACCCUGGUAGUCC
This 450-nucleotide ribosomal RNA is filed under the name uncultured bacterium. RNAcentral's name for it is "partial 16S ribosomal RNA". It matches the Rfam family "Bacterial small subunit ribosomal RNA", at positions 354 to 796 of the family's 1533-position model. The record is from RNAcentral.